UACGAGAGGCCCAAACGUUAUUCGGAAUUACUGGGCUUAAAGAGUUCGUAGGCGGCGCGGAAAGUGGGGUGUGAAAGCCCUCGGCUCAACCGAGGAAUUGCGCUCCAAACUGCCGUGCUUGAGGGACCUAGAGGUGAGCGGAACUGAUGGUGGAGCGGUGAAAUGCGUUGAUAUCGGAAGGAACGCCGGUGGCGAAAGCGGCGUACUGGACCUCUUCUGACGCUGAGGCGCGAAAGCUAGGGGAGCAAACGGG
Molecule: ribosomal RNA, 253 nt
Filed under: uncultured bacterium
Lineage: Bacteria
Description: partial 16S ribosomal RNA
Rfam family: Bacterial small subunit ribosomal RNA
Source: RNAcentral